GCCAUUUUCCUCCGGAAGUGCGGAUCCCAGCGGUGGUCGUGUAGCUGAGCAGGCCUGGGGCUUGGUUCUAUGUCCCUGUGGCUAUGUUUCCAGUGUCCUCUGGGUGUUUCCAAGAGCAACAAGAAACGAAUAAAUCUCUGCCAUAGGAGUUUUAGCCAAUUCAGAGGCCUUGCUCCCCACAAUUUGGAAAAUUCCUUUGGAUUUGACCAAGUCAGGAAGAGAAGGGAGAAAAGUGAAACAACAAUAAAGCCCCAAGCAUAAACAAACAAAAAGAGUUAAGCAAAACAACAAAUGCACAAUUCAUAUGAUUACUGAGUGUUCUAAUGGUAAGGAGAAACUAAAAGCAGAAAUUAAAAGCAGCUGGUGAGUAAUCUUAAAUUUUAGUCAUUAAGGACAAAUUUUAAGACAAAACUCUAAUUCAGCUACUCACCUGGAAACAAGGCUCAGGCUGGUGAUCGUUCUCUGCCAUCUUAGAAGCUGAAAACAACUUACACUCACCUUCCCUGUCAGAAGCAAGCUGAAACUCAGGAAAGGAGGUGCCUGCUCUCCAUCACCACAGAAGCAGGAAAACUUGCCUUCCUUGUUGGAAAUGAGUAAAACUUCAGAAAAGGAGUUGUACAGAAAAAUCAAACUUAGAUCUCAACCAGAUUUUGGGAGACCAGGGACUCUUUGCAGGGGAGAAGCUCCACAACCUCAGCAAAUUAUCCUGUUGGUUUGGGCAAUAAAGAUAGCCCAUGUUGGUAUCAAUCAAUAACGAGAUUUAUCAAAGGUCAGGGCCACCUUUGUAAUGACCUUCUCUGUCUUUUUUUAUCUUUAUUGGUAUAUACGUUUUGUCGAAACUGGGAGUGUAACACCUGAUUUCUUCUGUUUUCCAUUUGCUUGAAAGAUUUUUCACCAUUCCUUCAUUUUGAGCCUAUGUAUGGCACUGCAUGUGAGAUGGGUUUCUUGGAGACAGCAUACUCAAAUGGGUCUUUGUUCUUUAUCCAGCUUGCCCCCCUGUGUCUUUCAAUCGGAGCAUUUAGCCCAUUUCCAUUUAAGGUUAGUAAUGGUAUGUGUGGAUUAGAUCCUGUCGUCAUGCUGUCAGCUAGUUAUUUUGCAGACUUGUGUAUGUGGUUGGUUUUUAGCAUUACUGGUCUGUGUACUUCGGUGCAUUUUUGUAGUGGCUGGUGAUGGUCUUUUCUUUCCAUAUUUAGUGCUUCAUUCAGGAGCUCUUGUAAGGUAGAUCUGGUGAUAAUGAAUUCUCUCAGCAUUUGCUUGUCUGAAAAGGAUCUUGUUUCUCCUUCACUUAUGAUGCUUAAUUUUGCUGGACAUGAAAUUCUGGGUUGAAAUUUCUUUUUCUUUUAACCAUGUAUAAUAACACCAUGUUAUUAUAUGGUAUAUCUGUCUCUGCCAUACUACGUGAAAUUUCUUUUCUUUAAGAAGUUGAAUAUCUUUUCUGGCUUGUAGGGUUUCAGCUGAGAAGUCUGCUAAGUCUGAUGGAAUUCCCUUUGCAGGUGACGUUGCCUUUCUCCCUAGCUGCCUUUAACAGUGUUUCUUUCAUUUUGACCUUGGAGAAUCUGAUGAUUAUAUGUCUUGGGGAUGAUCUUCUCAUGGCUUAUCUUACUGAGGUUCUCUGGAUUUCCUGAAUUGGAAUGUUGGCUUGUCUGGAUAGGUUGGGGAUAUUCUCAUGAAUGAUAUUCUGAAGUAUGUUUUCCAAGUUGGUUCCAUUCUCCUCAUCUCUUUCACGUACACUAAUCAGUCAUAGAUUUGGUCGUUUAUAUAAUCUCAUAUUUCUUGGAUGUUUUGUUCAUUCAUUUUCCUUCUUUUUUCCCCCAUUCUUGUCUGCCUGUUUUAUUUCAGAAAGCCAGUUUUCAAGCUCUGGGAUUCUUUCCUCUGCUUGGUCUAUUCU
This 1888-nucleotide long non-coding RNA is filed under the name Homo sapiens (human). RNAcentral's name for it is "long non-coding RNA NONHSAT005727". The record is from RNAcentral. Lineage: Eukaryota; Metazoa; Chordata; Mammalia; Primates; Hominidae.